AUUGCUUUUCAGCCUUUUGGCUAAGAUCAUGUGUAUUAUCUGUUCUUAUCAGUUAUUCCUUGGACGGGUAAUAGAGCUUUGCUAAUGUCACUCUGCCUUUUGCUCAAAGGCAGGGAAUGACUCUCUCCUGAAACCUCAGCACACAUGGAAUCUCGAGGGCAUAACCA
RNAcentral lists this small nuclear RNA (167 nucleotides) under Callorhinchus milii (elephant shark). Its description in RNAcentral is "U2 spliceosomal RNA (ENSCMIG00000014771.1)". The stretch from base 1 to 126 matches the Rfam family "U2 spliceosomal RNA". Rfam says of the family: U2 is a small nuclear RNA (snRNA) component of the spliceosome (involved in pre-mRNA splicing). Complementary binding between U2 snRNA (in an area lying towards the 5' end but 3' to hairpin I) and the branchpoint sequence (BPS) of the intron results the bulging out of an unpaired adenosine, on the BPS, which initiates a nucleophilic attack at the intronic 5' splice site, thus starting the first of two transesterification reactions that mediate splicing. Lineage: Eukaryota; Metazoa; Chordata; Chondrichthyes; Chimaeriformes; Callorhinchidae. The record is from RNAcentral.